RNAcentral lists this transfer RNA (67 nucleotides) under Oncomelania hupensis robertsoni. RNAcentral describes it as "tRNA-Pro". RNAcentral also lists the same sequence under 1 other name. Lineage: Eukaryota; Metazoa; Mollusca; Gastropoda; Littorinimorpha; Pomatiopsidae. The record is from RNAcentral.
CAGGGCUGUAGUUUAAUAAAAUAUUAGCAUUGGAAGCUAGAGAUCAGGUAUUAGUCCUGUGUCCUGA